This 104-nucleotide microRNA precursor is filed under the name Canis lupus familiaris (dog). RNAcentral describes it as "mir-8834 microRNA precursor family". It matches the Rfam family "mir-8834 microRNA precursor family". The record is from Rfam by way of RNAcentral. RNAcentral also lists the same sequence under 1 other name. Lineage: Eukaryota; Metazoa; Chordata; Mammalia; Carnivora; Canidae.
AGGAGCAACAGCCCCAGUGGCGGGGCAGCUCUGGAAACCUGGAUUCAGCCCCCGCAGUAGCUCCGGAGCUCUCCGUCUGCAGGGCCUGGAGGCUCCGGGCGGGG